This 253-nucleotide ribosomal RNA is filed under the name uncultured bacterium. RNAcentral's name for it is "partial 16S ribosomal RNA". It matches the Rfam family "Bacterial small subunit ribosomal RNA", at positions 524 to 776 of the family's 1533-position model. The record is from RNAcentral.
UACGUAGGGUGCGAGCGUUAAUCGGAAUUCCUGGGCGUAAAGCGUGCGCAGGCGGUUUUGUAAGCCAGAUGUGAAAUCCCCGGGCUUAACGUGGGAAUGGCAUUUGGGACUGCAAGGCUGGAGUGUGGCAGAGGAGACUGGAAUUCCCGGUGUAGCAGUGAAAUGCGUAGAUAUCGGGAGGAAUACCGAUGGCGAAGGCAGGUCUCUGGGCUGACACUGACGCUCAUGCACGAAAGCGUGGGGAGCAAACAGG